ACCCAGGUUACCAGGCCCAGCCCCUCUCCCCAAAGGGUGACAAUGGUUGUGUGAGAGGAGAAACUCAUCUGGACUACUUCACCUAUGGUUUUGGGGAGCACUAAGGCCAGGGUAGACCAGAACACCAUGCUUAGCAUUUCAUGAAGUCACAUCUGCUUGUGUCUUCCCCCCUCUGUGCUGAGCAGCCUGAAGACAUCGAAAAGGAGGUGACCCAGAGCUCCCUCGUCUGCACAAAAGAGAUGACCUUGGGAGCCCAGCCUCCCUCUUUCUAAUUGGAGGCUGAACAGCUGCAGAGAAUUAGAAAGCAUCCAAGAAGAAAUAAGGACUUUCUGCGUGAUGUUAUGAUGCACUCCGCAGCUGAAAAACAGGAAUUGAAGGAGUGGAGGGACAGUGAGAAGAGGCACCAAAAGGAGAACACGGCACACCAGAAUGAAGCCACAGAGCAGCUCUUAAAUGUUAUGGAGCGCCAAGCAGACACGCUCCAGGUGAUACUAGUUCUUCAAACCGAGCAGCUCCGCCCCCGCCCUCCCCUGCAUUUGCUGUCACAAAACUCUUUCCCAUGCACCCAGACACCACCAACACACACUCUUAUCAACGUCCUGGCUGCAGUCCAUACCUGUAGUAUUCCACUCCUCCCUGCUCACAGUCCAGCACUGCGGACUCCCACUGCACUCAACACCCAUCCCUCUGCAGUUUGGCCCUUCUGAAGUACAGCACCCACUGCAUUGUACUCAAAGGAGAAGGUUGGAUAUGAUCCCUGGACAUACACAAAUCUUCAGCUGUUCCGGGACCCAUCCCCCUCACCUGCUGAUGGAUUUUUUUUUGUUUGACUCUCUCCUUCGGUUGUUGUCUUUUAAUAAAAGAAUUGUGUUGGUUU
Long non-coding RNA from Chelonia mydas (Green sea turtle), 877 nucleotides. RefSeq lists it as uncharacterized. The transcript is spliced from 3 exons. Lineage: Eukaryota; Metazoa; Chordata; Testudines; Cheloniidae. The record is from RefSeq and is a predicted model, not a curated record.